Molecule: ribosomal RNA, 486 nt
Filed under: uncultured bacterium
Lineage: Bacteria
Description: bacterial SSU rRNA
Rfam family: Bacterial small subunit ribosomal RNA
Source: RNAcentral
GAUGAACGCUAGCUACAGGCUUAACACAUGCAAGUCGAGGGCAGCAUUAGGUAGCAAUACUGAGGUGGCGACCGGCGCACGGGUGCGUAACGCGUAUCCAACCUUCCCGAUACUCUUGGAUAAGCCUUCCGAAAGGGAGAUUAAUACAAGAUGGUGUUUCACUUUCGCAUGUUAUUGAAACUAAAGAUUUAUCGGUAACGGAUGGGGAUGCGUGACAUUAGAUAGUAGGCGGGGUAACGGCCCACCUAGUCUACGAUGUCUAGGGGUUCUGAGAGGAAGGUCCCCCACACUGGAACUGAGACACGGUCCAGACUCCUACGGGAGGCAGCAGUGAGGAAUAUUGGUCAAUGGUCGGAAGACUGAACCAGCCAAGUAGCGUGAAGGAUGAAGGUUCUAUGGAUUGUAAACUUCUUUUAUACGGGAAUAAAACCUCCCACGUGUGGGAGCUUGUAUGUACCGUAUGAAUAAGCAUCGGCUAACUCCGUG